GAGCACGUAGGUGGGUUUGUAAGUCAGAUGUGAAAGCCUUCUGUUCAACGGAAGAAUUGCAUCUGAAACUGCGAGUCUUGAGUGUAGGAGGGGAGAAUGGAACUUCUGGUGGAGCGGUGAAAUGCGUAGAUAUCAGAAGGAACGCCGGCGGCGAAAGCGAUUCUCUGGCCUAUUACUGACACUCAGUGUGCGAAAGCUAGGGGAGCGAACGGGAUUAGAUACCCCGGUAGUCCUAGCCGUAAACGAUGGGCACUAAGUAGAGGGGUUUU
RNAcentral lists this ribosomal RNA (269 nucleotides) under uncultured Planctomycetales bacterium. RNAcentral describes it as "partial 16S ribosomal RNA". It matches the Rfam family "Bacterial small subunit ribosomal RNA", at positions 565 to 832 of the family's 1533-position model. The record is from RNAcentral. Lineage: Bacteria; Pseudomonadati; Planctomycetota; Planctomycetia; Planctomycetales.